AGAACCCUUGUUACCAUUGUUGUGGGUAUCCAUUAGCUUUCUUAGGUUUCUGUUUGUUUCUUUAUAAUAAAGUUGAACAGCACUGUAUAUUAAUCAUUUAAUGAUUCAGAAGGAUGCUCUACAGCUUUGCAUGGCUUUUUAUUCUUUCAGUUGAUGUACUGUAUACUCUGAUAUUAUCACCAGGUCGAUGAUCUAUCAAAGGAACCACAAGUUGAGCGAGAGCUGAUGCUUAUCAAACUCAAUGUGGGUCCUGAAAGGCGCCAAGAGGUACAUGCACUGUCUAUCCCUGUUAUUUAUGUUGUUUUGCAUUUUAAACAUUAAAUUUGUUUAAAUUUUGUUGAUGGUAUUUGCAUAUCUAUAUUAUGACAACUUAUUGUCAUGUGCUGAAAUGUUUGUAUCAGAUGAAAUGAUGAAAACAUUAUUAGAAACCAUUUUAUUGGAUUUAAUGUUCCAUCAAAGAGGUUUCUGGUUUUCGGGUCACUUGUUUAUGGGAUGGCAAAGAUCAUGGAAAGUCUGACAUUUUCUUUUGGUCUAAGAUAGGUUGUGGGCUGUGAUGGCUUGGCACUUCAAAGAAAGUCAAAGGGUUUUAGUUUUGAUAUUCUAUGGAUGUCACAUUUGGAUGAUUUGUGAAAAAUUCUCAUUUAUGGAUAGGUGGUGAUCACAAGUGAUUGUGCACCUGUAGAACACUGUUUCUGUUGAUACACCAGAACAUGUAGGUCAAAAUUUGGUGAACCGCAUCAAUUUUUCCUAACAAUGGAACUUAGUAUGAGCUUGAGGUUGACUUGUUCAACAUGGCGCAAAAAUAUAAAGUUUCAAAGGGCACACAGAGUGUAAAUGUUAAAGCGGC
RNAcentral lists this long non-coding RNA (847 nucleotides) under Elaeis guineensis (African oil palm). Its description in RNAcentral is "long non-coding RNA (EGUI_LNC073580)". The record is from RNAcentral. Lineage: Eukaryota; Viridiplantae; Streptophyta; Magnoliopsida; Arecales; Arecaceae.